This 305-nucleotide ribosomal RNA is filed under the name uncultured bacterium. RNAcentral describes it as "bacterial SSU rRNA". It matches the Rfam family "Bacterial small subunit ribosomal RNA", at positions 337 to 660 of the family's 1533-position model. The record is from RNAcentral.
ACCUAGGGAGGCAGUAGUGGGGAAUAUUGCACAAUGGGGGGAACCCUGAUGCAGCAAUGCCGCGUGGGUGAAGAAGCACUCCGGUGCGUAAAGCCCUGUCAGCAGGGAAGAAAAUGACAGUACCUGGACAAGAAGCCCCGGCUAACUACGUGCCAGCAGCCGCGGUAAUACGUAGGGGGCAAGCGUUAUCCGGAUUUACUGGGUGUAAAGGGAGCGUAGGCGGCGAUGCAAGUCAGAAGUGAAAGCCCGGGGCUCAACUCCGGGACUGCUUUUGAAACUGUGUUGCUAGAUUGCAGGAGAGGUAA